Molecule: long non-coding RNA, 325 nt
Filed under: Mytilus galloprovincialis (Mediterranean mussel)
Lineage: Eukaryota; Metazoa; Mollusca; Bivalvia; Mytilida; Mytilidae
Source: RNAcentral
CUUCUGUUUAUGUGGUCAUAACAUGCAAGUUAUUGUUUUUGUAUAGAUUAGACCAUUCGUUUUCCAGUUUGAAUGGUUUAACAUUAGUAAUUUUUGGGGCCCUUUAUAGCUUACUGUUUGGUGUAAGCCAAGGCUCUGUGUUGAUGGCCGUACCUUGGCCUGUAAUGGUUUACCUUUUUUCUUUUAUGUACUUUUAUAAAUUGUUACUUGGAUGGAGUCUCAUUGGCACUCAUACCACAUCUUCCUAUAAGAAAUUUCUGAGGAGAACACUGCAAUGGAUUUCUAUUUUUCGUAAUUAGUUUUUGGACGUUUAUAUCCUUCUUUG